UACGAAGGGGGCUAGCGUUGCUCGGAAUUACUGGGCGUAAAGCGCACGUAGGCGGUCUUUUAAGUCGGGGGUGAAAUCCUGGAGCUCAACUCCAGAACUGCCUUCGAUACUGAAAGACCUGAGUCCGGGAGAGGUGAGUGGAACUGCGAGUGUAGAGGUGAAAUUCGUAGAUAUUCGCAAGAACACCAGUGGCGAAGGCGGCUCACUGGCCCGGUACUGACGCUGAGGUGCGAAAGCGUGGGGAGCAAACAGG
RNAcentral lists this ribosomal RNA (253 nucleotides) under uncultured bacterium. Its description in RNAcentral is "partial 16S ribosomal RNA". It matches the Rfam family "Bacterial small subunit ribosomal RNA", at positions 524 to 776 of the family's 1533-position model. The record is from RNAcentral.